CGCUACAUGAUGAGCCUAUGUUAGAUUAGCUAGUUGGUGGGGUAAUGGCCUACCAAGGCAGUGAUCUAUAGCUGGUCUGAGAGGAUGAUCAGCCACACUGGAACUGAGACACGGUCCAGACUCCUACGGGAGGCAGCAGUGGGGAAUAUUGGACAAUGGGCGCAAGCCUGAUCCAGCUAUGCCGCGUGAGUGAGGAAGGCCUUAGGGUUGUAAAACUCUUUCAGUAGGGAAGAUAAUGACGGUAC
RNAcentral lists this ribosomal RNA (245 nucleotides) under uncultured Anaplasma sp. Its description in RNAcentral is "partial 16S ribosomal RNA". It matches the Rfam family "Bacterial small subunit ribosomal RNA", at positions 216 to 478 of the family's 1533-position model. The record is from RNAcentral. Lineage: Bacteria; Pseudomonadati; Pseudomonadota; Alphaproteobacteria; Rickettsiales; Anaplasmataceae.